AUGCUUUUUUUUGGCAAAGAUGACGUUAUAUUGAAGCUGCCGGAUUCGUCCGGCUAUGGCGAUAAACGCGGUCGUAAUAAGCGGUUCGGACCCGGGGGCGGUACCCGGCGCCUCCACCACUCUCUUGCCGCGCCUUGCGGCCGGCUCCCGGAACGGGAGUCGCAAGGCGCAAUGUAAGAAUCCUACGGGGGCGAACUAGGAUCGACGAACGUGUAAAGGAUUUAGCUUUUGCCCGGCAUGAUACCACCGUCAUCGGGUCACACAGAGUAGUUGCAAAUGACAACUAUGCUGAGGCACGUCUCGCUGCUUAAUGCGGUGCGAUUAGCCUGAACUCGAAGCCCUUGCCCCUAGCCGGGUAAGGCGCGGUUCGGAGGGCACCGGGCAACAGAAGCCCUCCACU
RNAcentral lists this transfer-messenger RNA (400 nucleotides) under Hyphomicrobium sp. It matches the Rfam family "Alphaproteobacteria transfer-messenger RNA". From Rfam's summary of the family: Bacterial tmRNA, also known as 10Sa RNA or SsrA, is named for its dual tRNA and mRNA-like properties. Its role is to liberate the mRNA from a stalled ribosome. To accomplish this part of the tmRNA is used as a reading frame that ends in a translation stop signal. Lineage: Bacteria; Pseudomonadati; Pseudomonadota; Alphaproteobacteria; Hyphomicrobiales; Hyphomicrobiaceae. The record is from RNAcentral.